This 492-nucleotide ribosomal RNA is filed under the name uncultured bacterium. Its description in RNAcentral is "partial 16S ribosomal RNA". It matches the Rfam family "Bacterial small subunit ribosomal RNA", at positions 29 to 507 of the family's 1533-position model. The record is from RNAcentral.
AGUGAACGCUGGCGGUAGGCCUAACACAUGCAAGUCGAACGGCAGCACAGUAAGAGCUUGCUCUUACGGGUGGCGAGUGGCGGACGGGUGAGGAAUACAUCGGAAUCUACUUUUUCGUGGGGGAUAACGUAGGGAAACUUACGCUAAUACCGCAUACGACCUACGGGUGAAAGCAGGGGAUCUUCGGACCUUGCGCGAUUGAAUGAGCCGAUGUCGGAUUAGCUAGUUGGCGGGGUAAAGGCCCACCAAGGCGACGAUCCGUAGCUGGUCUGAGAGGAUGAUCAGCCACACUGGAACUGAGACACGGUCCAGACUCCUACGGGAGGCAGCAGUGGGGAAUAUUGGACAAUGGGCGCAAGCCUGAUCCAGCCAUACCGCGUGGGUGAAGAAGGCCUUCGGGUUGUAAAGCCCUUUUGUUGGGAAAGAAAAGCAGCAGGUUAAUACCCCGCUGUAAUGACGGUACCCAAAGAAUAAGCACCGGCUAACUUCGUG